GAUGAACGCUGGCGGCGUGCCUAAUACAUGCAAGUCGAACGAAUCUUCUUCGGAAGAUGAGUGGCGAACGGGUGAGUAAUACAUAGGUAACCUGCCCCAGUGCGGGGGAUAACAGGAGGACACUCCUGCUAAUACCGCAUAGCCAUGAGCACCGCAUGGAGCUCAUGCCAAAUAUCCUUUCGGGGAUAGCGCAGGGAUGGACCUAUGGCGCAUUAGCUGGUUGGCGGGGCAACGGCCCACCAAGGCAACGAUGCGUAGCCGGCCUGAGAGGGCGGACGGCCACAUUGGGACUGAGACACGGCCCAGACUCCUACGGGAGGCAGCAGUAGGGAAUUUUCGGCAAUGGGGGAAACCCUGACCGAGCAACGCCGCGUGAGCGAAGAAGGCCUUCGGGUCGUAAAGCUCUGUUGUAAAGGAAGAACGGCGCAUACAGGAAAUGGUAUGCGAGUGACGGUACUUUACCAGAAAGCCACGGCUAACUACGUGCCAGCCGCCGCAGUAA
Molecule: ribosomal RNA, 502 nt
Filed under: uncultured bacterium
Lineage: Bacteria
Description: partial 16S ribosomal RNA
Rfam family: Bacterial small subunit ribosomal RNA
Source: RNAcentral